Molecule: ribosomal RNA, 492 nt
Filed under: uncultured bacterium
Lineage: Bacteria
Description: partial 16S ribosomal RNA
Rfam family: Bacterial small subunit ribosomal RNA
Source: RNAcentral
AGUGAACGCUGGCGGUAGGCCUAACACAUGCAAGUCGAACGGCAGCACAGUAAGAGCUUGCUCUUACGGGUGGGGAGUGGCGGAAGGGUGAGGAAUACAUCCGACUCUACUUUUUCGUGGGGGUUAACGUAGGGAGACCUAAGCUAAUAUCGCAUCCGACCCUCGGGUGAAAGCAUGGGAUCUUUGGAGCUUGCGCGGAUGAAUGAGCCGAUUUUGGAUUAGCUAGUUGGGGGGGUGAUGGCCCAGCAAGGCGCGGAUUCGUAGCUGGUCUGAGUGGCUGGUCAGCCACAUUAGAACGUAACCACGCUCCUGACUCCUACGGGAGGCACCAGUGGGGAAUAUUAGACAGUGGUCGGAAGCCUGAUCCAGCCGUACCGCGUGGGUGACGAAGACCUUCGGUUUGUAAAGCCCGUUUGUUGAGUAAGAAAAGCAGCAGGUUAAUACCCCGCUGUUGUGACGGUACCCAAAGAAUAAGCACCGGCUAACUUCGUG